AGUGAACGCUGGCGGUAGGCCUAACACAUGCAAGUCGAACGGCAGCACAGUAAGAGCUUGCUCUUACGGUUGGCGAGUGGCGGACGGGUGAGGAAUACAUCGGAAUCUACUUUUUCGUGGGGGAUAACGUAGGGAAACUUACGCUAAUACCGCAUACGACCUACGGGUGAAAGUAGGGGAUCUUCGGACCUUGCGCGAUUGAAUGAGCCGAUGUCGGAUUAGCUAGUUGGCGGGGUAAAGGCCCACCAAGGCGACGAUCCGUAGCUGGUCUGAGAGGAUGAUCAGCCACACUGGAACUGAGACACGGUCCAGACUCCUACGGGAGGCAGCAGUGGGGAAUAUUGGACAAUGGGCGCAAGCCUGAUCCAGCCAUACCGCGUGGGUGAAGAAGGCCUUCGGGUUGUAAAGCCCUUUUGUUGGGAAAGAAAAGCAGCAGGUUAAUACCCCGCUGUUCUGACGGUACCCAAAGAAUAAGCACCGGCUAACUUCGUG
RNAcentral lists this ribosomal RNA (492 nucleotides) under uncultured bacterium. Its description in RNAcentral is "partial 16S ribosomal RNA". It matches the Rfam family "Bacterial small subunit ribosomal RNA", at positions 29 to 507 of the family's 1533-position model. The record is from RNAcentral.